GAUUGAACGCUGGCGGCAUGCCUAACACAUGCAAGUCGAACGGGGUAGCAAUACCCAGUGGCGGACGGGUGAGGAAUACAUAGGAAUUUGCCUUUAGGUGGGGGAUAGCCCGGGGAAACUCGGAGUAAUACCGCAUGAUGUCGAAAGACCAAAGUAGGGGAUCGCAAGACCUUGCGCCUUUAGAGAAGCCUAUGUCUGAUUAGCUAGUUGGUAGGGUAAUGGCCUACCAAGGCGACGAUCGGUAACUGGUCUGAGAGGACGAUCAGUCACACCGGAACUGAGACACGGUCCGGACUCCUACGGGAGGCAGCAGUGGGGAAUAUUGGACAAUGGGCGAAAGCCUGAUCCAGCAAUGCCGCGUGUGUGAAGAAGGCC
Molecule: ribosomal RNA, 375 nt
Filed under: uncultured bacterium
Lineage: Bacteria
Description: bacterial SSU rRNA
Rfam family: Bacterial small subunit ribosomal RNA
Source: RNAcentral